UGUUGGUGGGGUAACGGCUCACCAAGGCGACGAUCCCUAGCUGGUCUGAGAGGAUGACCAGCCACACUGGAACUGAGACACGGUCCAGACUCCUACGGGAGGCGGCAGUGGGGAAUAUUGCACAAUGGGCGCAAGCCUGAUGCAGCCAUGCCGCGUGUAUGAAGAAGGCCUUCGGGUUGUAAAGUACUUUCAGCGGGGAGGAAGGGAGUAAAGUUAAUACCUUUGCUCAUUGACGUUACCCGCAGAAGAAGCACCGGCUAACUCCGUGCCAGCAGCCGCGGCAAUACGGAGGGUGCAAGCGUUAAUCGGAAUUACUGGGCGUAAAGCGCACGCAGGCGGUUUGUUAAGUCAGAUGUGAAAUCCCCGGGCUCAACCUGGGAACUGCAUCUGAUACUGGCAAGCUUGGGUCUCGUAGAGGGGGGUAGAAUUCCAGGUGUAGCGGUGAAAUGCGUAGAGAUCUGGAGGAAUACCGGUGGCGAAGGCGGCCCCCUGGACGAAGACUGACGCUCAGGUGCGAAAGCGUGGGGAGCAAACAGGAUUAGAUACCCCGGUAGUCCACGCCGUAAACGAUGUCGACUUGGAGGUUGUGCCCUUGAGGCGUGGCUUCCGGAGCUAACGCGUUAAGUCGACCGCCUGGGGAGUACAGCCGCAAGGUUAAAACUCAAAUGAAUUGACGGGGGCCCGCACAAGCGGUGGAGCAUGUGGUUUAAUUCGAUGCAACGCGAAGAACCUUACCUGGUCUUGACAUCCACGGAAGUUUUCAGAGAUGAGAAUGUGCCUUCGGGAACCGUGAGACAAGUGCUGCAUGGCUGUCGUUAGCUCGUGUUGUGAAAUGUUGGGUUAAGUCCCGCAACGAGCGCAACCCCUAUCCUUUGUUGCCAGCGGUCCGGCCGGGAACUCAAAGGAGACUGCCAGUGAUAAACUGGAGGAAGGUGGGGAUGACGUCAA
This 948-nucleotide ribosomal RNA is filed under the name uncultured Gammaproteobacteria bacterium. RNAcentral describes it as "bacterial SSU rRNA". It matches the Rfam family "Bacterial small subunit ribosomal RNA", at positions 247 to 1188 of the family's 1533-position model. The record is from RNAcentral. Lineage: Bacteria; Pseudomonadati; Pseudomonadota; Gammaproteobacteria.